GACGAACGCUGGCGGCGUGCUUAACACAUGCAAGUCGAACGGAAAGGUCCUGCUUUUGUGGGGUGCUCGAGUGGCGAACGGGUGAGUAACACGUGAGUAACCUGCCCUUGACUUUGGGAUAACUUCAGGAAACUGGGGCUAAUACCGGAUAGGAGCUCCUGCUGCAUGGUGGGGGUUGGAAAGUUUCGGCGGUUGGGGAUGGACUCGCGGCUUAUCAGCUUGUUGGUGGGGUAGUGGCUUACCAAGGCUUUGACGGGUAGCCGGCCUGAGAGGGUGACCGGCCACAUUGGGACUGAGAUACGGCCCAGACUCCUACGGGAGGCAGCAGUGGGGAAUAUUGCACAAUGGGCGGAAGCCUGAUGCAGCAACGCCGCGUGCGGGAUGAUGGCCUUCGGGUUGUAAACCGCUUUCGCCUGUGACGAAGCGUGAGUGACGGUAAUGGGUAAAGAAGCACCGGCUAACUACGUG
Molecule: ribosomal RNA, 468 nt
Filed under: uncultured bacterium
Lineage: Bacteria
Description: partial 16S ribosomal RNA
Rfam family: Bacterial small subunit ribosomal RNA
Source: RNAcentral